AGAACUUGCUCCAAAUCAAAAUCAAUUAAAAAUUACUUGAUAUUUAAGAAAAAUGAAGGGGAAGGCUCUUAUGAAUUUUUCAAGAUUUGUUGUUGCUUUGUUGCUAAUCAUCAUGGGUAAUGGUCCAUUUUUUUUAAAAAUUAUCUCUCUCUAGCCCCUGUUUUCACUUAAUAAGGCAUUGCUUGAUAAAGUUUUUCUUUUUUAAAUAUUCAUCGUUAAAAAAAGUAGCUAUAGAAUUUUACUGUUUCGUUAUAUUUCAAUGAUUGAUUUCAGUUCUUUUUUUUUUUUUUUAAUAAUUUUCCAUGUUGCUAAUCAUCAUUAGAUUGUCCACCUUUCAAUUUGUACUCUAUCUAAACCUAGUUGUCCCAAUAUAAUUCAUUGUUUAGUAUUCUUUAAUAAUUCGUAAUCUAAAUAGAAGUGAUAAAUUUUUGCUAUAUAUGUGAAGUGAUAAUAUGAUAAUUUGCCGUUAUAUAUAUAAACCUUUUUUUUUCUUGACUUGAAAUUAUUAUCCGAUUAAGUUUGAACGGAUUGAACAGAUUGUAUGUAUGUGUUGUUUCCCCUCCUUUUCGAUCCGGCCGUAGUGCAGCGCCUGAAUUUGAAGCUACGAUCAGAUCCGAUUGGAUCUGAUCCUAUCCGACCCAACCCCGGAUUUGGACGGUAGAAUGGGGAGAAGGGCAGGGGCGGCUCAAGCGUAUUGGUGACCUAAUGCGAAAAUCAGAUAGAGGCCUUAAUUUUUUUUUUUUAAAAAUAAUUUUUUUUGCUAACUCUAUUUUUAAAAUUAUAUAAUCGAUUUUUUCUAAUUAUUAUUUUUAAGUAAUAAUAUAAUUAAUGCAUUUAAUCUUUCUUGAGACAUAAUACUCUAGAUAUAUGAUCUUCUAAUAAUUCUUUCCUUUUUUAUAAAAAAAUAUUUUUUUAAUAAAUAAUGGAGUAUUUAUUUUUUCUUAAAAAUAUCUAUAAUAUAUUAUCGUGAAAAAUGAGGCCCUCAAAUUUGGGGGCCUAAGGCAACCGCCUAUUUUUUUCUAAGGUAAAGCCGCCCCUGGAGAAGGGAAGUCGUGCCCAUUUUCUAUUCGGGCACGGGUAAGAACAUCCAAAAAAAUAAAAAAAGUGAAUACAUGUACAUGAUAUAACGACAUACUCCAAAAACGUGACCCAAACUAUUAGCAUGCUUAAUUUUUUUUUUUUUUUAAAAUCCUCUGAAAAAUUCUGCGUUUAUCACUGUGUGAAGUAAUGAUUGUUUGGAUAUUUUUAUAUAUGCAGUUGCAAAUAAUUCAUCUGUCAAGGUGACUGCUAUUCCUAAGCCUCACUGUGAUAAAGCCAAGGACUGUGAUGAAGUUUGUAAACAUGCGCCAGCGAUUUGUGUUUCACACAUUUGUGUGUGUCUUAAACGAGACGAAUAUUAUGCACAUACGGAGAAGAGCAAAUUAAAUAUGAACUGAUGGAGGCAUAAAGUUCAGAAAAAAAAUAAAUUAUGUAUUUAUUUAUAUUUCAUUGUAUUCCUUCUAUCAUUAGUUGGAAAGUUUGGAAAACAAGAUUUUGUAUGAGAUAUGAAAGUUUUUUAUCCAAUUGAAG
RNAcentral lists this long non-coding RNA (1569 nucleotides) under Capsicum annuum. Its description in RNAcentral is "long non-coding RNA (CANN_LNC016862)". The record is from RNAcentral. Lineage: Eukaryota; Viridiplantae; Streptophyta; Magnoliopsida; Solanales; Solanaceae.